CUGUGUCCUCUCCACAGUCACUGAGCACAUAGAUCCUCACCAUGGGAUGGAGCUGGAUCAUCAUCUUCCUCCUGUCAGUAAUUACAGGUGUCCACUGCCAGGUCCAGCUGCAGCAGUCUGGUCCUGAGCUGAGGAAACCUGGGGCCUCAGUGAAGUUGUCCUGCAAGGCUUCGGGCUACACCUUCACUAGCUACUUUAUGCACUGGGUGAAGCAGAGGCCUGGACAGGGCCUGGAUUGGAUUGGAGUCAUUGAUCCUGGAAGUGGUAGUACUAGGCAUAAUCAGAAGCUCCAGGUCAAGUCCACACUGUCUGUGGACAAAUCCUCCAGCACAGCCUACAUGGAGCUCAGCAGCCUGACAUCUGAGGACUCUGUGGUCUAUUUCUGUGCAAGACACAGUGUUGCAACCCACAUCCUGAGUGUGUCAAAAACUCUGGUUUGCAGGAAGCUGCCCUGGGACUGA
Peromyscus leucopus (white-footed mouse) is the source of this 461-nucleotide non-coding RNA. The record is from the annotation of a RefSeq genome assembly. NCBI's taxonomy places the organism in Eukaryota, Metazoa, Chordata, Mammalia, Rodentia, Cricetidae.